CCGUAACUAUAACGGUCCUAAGGUAGCGAAAUUCCUUGUCGGGUAAGUUCCGACCCGCACGAAAGGCGUAAUGAUUUGAGCGCUGUCUCGACAAUGCAUCCGGUGAAAUUGAAGUACCAGUGAAGAUGCUGGUUACCUGCGCCAGGACGGAAAGACCCCAUGGAGCUUUACUCUAGUUUGGUACUGGGGUCCGGUAUUGCAUGUACAGGAUAGGUGGGAGACUGAGAAGUGUGAACGCCAGUUUGCACGGAGUCAUUGUUGGGAUACCACCCCUGCAGUAUUGGGCUUCUAACAGGUAGCCGUAAACCGGCUAAUGGACAAUGCCAGGCGGGGAGUUUGACUGGGGCGGUCGCCUCCGAAAGGGUAUCGGAGGCGCUCAAAGGUUCCCUCAGAAUGGUCGGAAACCAUUCGAAGAGUGCAAAGGCAGAAGGGAGCUUGACUGCGACACCGACGGGUGGAGCAGGUACGAAAGUAGGACUUAGUGAUCCGGUGGUAUAAAGUGGGAUUGCCAUCGCUCAACGGAUAAAAGCUACCCUGGGGAUAACAGGCUUAUCACUCCCAAGAGUUCACAUCGACGGAGUGGUUUGGCACCUCGAUGUCGGCUCAUCGCAUCCUGGGGCUGUAGUAGGUCCCAAGGGUUGGGCUGUUCGCCCAUUAAAGCGGUACGCGAGCUGGGUUCAGAACGUCGUGAGACAGUUCGGUCCCUAUCCUCCGUGGGCGCAGGAGAAUCGAUGGAGGCUGCCCCCAGUACGAGAGGACCGGGGUGGACGCACCUCCGGUGAACCGGUUGUCGACCAACGGCACGGCCGGGUAGCCGCGUGCGGCGCGGAUAACCGCUGAAGGCAUCUAAGCGGGAAGCCGUUCCAGGGAUUAGUUCUCCUUCCGGUAAGGGCCCAGGUAGACUACCUGGUCGAUAGACGGCAGGUGCAAGGCUGGCGACAGCCUCAGCCGAGCCGCACUAAUCGCCCGAGCUCUUCCGGAA
This 982-nucleotide ribosomal RNA is filed under the name human gut metagenome. RNAcentral describes it as "bacterial LSU rRNA". It matches the Rfam family "Bacterial large subunit ribosomal RNA", at positions 1934 to 2925 of the family's 2925-position model. The record is from RNAcentral.